UACAGAGACUGCAAGCGUUGUUCGGAUUCACUGGGCGUAAAGGGUGCGCAGGCGGCCAAGUGUGUCAGAUGUGAAAGCUCGAGGCUUAACCUCGAAACUGCGCCUGAAACUAUUUGGCUAGAGUACUGGAGAGGGAAGUGGAAUUCACGGUGUGAGCAGUGAAAUGACGUAGAUAUCGUGAGGAACACCAAUGGCGAAGGCAACUUCCUGG
RNAcentral lists this ribosomal RNA (211 nucleotides) under uncultured bacterium. RNAcentral's name for it is "partial 16S ribosomal RNA". It matches the Rfam family "Bacterial small subunit ribosomal RNA", at positions 524 to 732 of the family's 1533-position model. The record is from RNAcentral.